RNAcentral lists this ribosomal RNA (271 nucleotides) under uncultured prokaryote. RNAcentral's name for it is "partial 16S ribosomal RNA". It matches the Rfam family "Bacterial small subunit ribosomal RNA", at positions 524 to 794 of the family's 1533-position model. The record is from RNAcentral.
UACGUAGGGAGCAAGCGUUGUCCGGAAUUACUGGGCGUAAAGGGCGCGUAGGUGGAUGCUUAAGUCAGAUGUGAAAACUCCGGGCUCAACUUGGAGAUUGCAUUUGAAACUGGGUAUCUUGAGGGUAGGAGAGGAAAGUGGAAUUCCCAGUGUAGCGGUGAAAUGCGUAGAGAUUGGGAGGAACACCAGUGGCGAAGGCGGCUUUCUGGACGAUAACUGACGCUGAGGCGCGAAAGCGUGGGUAGCAAACAGGAUUAGAUACCCCUGUAGU